RNAcentral lists this microRNA precursor (84 nucleotides) under Pongo abelii (Sumatran orangutan). Its description in RNAcentral is "mir-548 microRNA precursor family". It matches the Rfam family "mir-548 microRNA precursor family". Lineage: Eukaryota; Metazoa; Chordata; Mammalia; Primates; Hominidae. The record is from Rfam by way of RNAcentral.
UAUUAGGUUGGUGCAAAAGUAAUUGUGGUUUUUACCAUUGAAAGUAAUGGCAAAAACUGCAAUUACUUUUGCGCCAAUCUAAUA